RNAcentral lists this ribosomal RNA (301 nucleotides) under uncultured bacterium. RNAcentral describes it as "partial 16S ribosomal RNA". It matches the Rfam family "Bacterial small subunit ribosomal RNA", at positions 509 to 807 of the family's 1533-position model. The record is from RNAcentral.
CAGUAGCCGCGGUAAUACGUAGGGUGCGAGCGUUAAUCGGAAUUACUGGGCGUAAAGCGUGCGUAGGUGGUGGUUUAAGUCCGUUGUGAAAGCCCUGGGCUCAACCUGGGAAUUGCAGUGGAUACUGGGUCACUAGAGUGUGGUAGAGGAUAGUGGAAUUUCCGGCGUAGCAGUGAAAUGCGUAGAGAUCGGAAGGAACAUCUGUGGCGAAGGCGACUAUCUGGGCCAACACUGACACUGAGGCACGAAAGCGUGGGGAGCAAACAGGAUUAGAUACCCGGGUAGUCCCUGUCUCUUAUAC